Molecule: unclassified non-coding RNA, 5845 nt
Filed under: Monomorium pharaonis (pharaoh ant)
Lineage: Eukaryota; Metazoa; Arthropoda; Insecta; Hymenoptera; Formicidae
Description: lIM domain-binding protein 2, transcript variant X6
Source: RNAcentral
UAAAAAUGAUUGAAAAAAUAUAUAUUUCCAAGAUUUUUCAUUUUACAUUAAAAAAAAGUGAUUCUGAACUAUUAUAUGAUUAAUAGAACAAAAAUAUAAAUUCCACAUGAAUUACGUAAAAAAAAUUAUGUAAGAAAACAUCGCAUAUAGAUUCUUGAAAGUGUGAUAAGAUACGCGUGAAAAAGUUGCUCGUACAAUUAGGAUUCUUUCUUUAUUAUUUUUUUUCUUUAUACCAAUGUCAUUCGAAAGAAUGGCGAAUGAAUGAAACAAUGUUAGAACGGUGAGGAAUUUUCGGAUAAGCGCAGUUGCGUGGGUGUUUACGCUUAUCGAUCGAUUGGUCAAUUCGGCACGUCGCGUCGGUGCACGUCAAGACAACGAAGGGUGAUUCUUCUUCCUCCGUGCGGUACAAAUACGUUCAACUUGACCUCGAUUACGAUGAAUCGGAUUUCCGGACUACGGUGAUCCUAGCGGACACCCUCGAAUCAAUCCUUACGAGAAGGUGGGCGGAAAGGGGAGAGUUGGGAGAAGUCGAGCGAUUCGAAUCGCACGGAAAGUGAAACUUGGUAUCCUACCGCCGACUUUGGCCGUAGAUACCGACUUCCUUCUUCACUUGCAAUAAUUUACCAAACGGAAUCGGACACUGGCGUUUCCGGAUCUCGUUACGCGUCGUACAUACGUUCGAAUUUCCUAAACACGGCCGCGUUAAAUGUAACUCGCGACGGAAAUCCUUUAUAUCCUGCGAUACGCGAAUUUUAUCUACGUUCGAGAAAGAAAAAAUAGAUAUAUCCAUGUAGUCUUUAUAUAGGCGGGCAUUACGUUACGAGCGAGUCGAAACACGCGAUACGACGAGACUGCUUAGACAUAGUGCGAUAUCCCUGAAUUAAACAAUAAUUUAAUUUUAAGAAAAAAACAAGAACAUAGAUAAUUUGAUUAUUAAUCAUAUCAUUAAAUCAAAUUACCUAUGUUCUUGCUUAUAAAUUAUUAUUUUGACACAUCAAAACUAUAUAAAUUAUCUUCUUGCUUAUAUGAGAACCAAUGAUAAUUUUGUUUAUAUACAUAAGUUAAUUCUCUUUAAAGAGAAUUUGAUAAUAAUAUUAAAAAUGCUAAUUUUUAAUUUGAAGAUAUCAUUAGUUUCUAUCCGAUAUUUUUUCCUUUCGACUAACAUGAAUAUUGUUUCUUUUCUGUAAAAAAAAGGCAAAGGCAAAAUUAUGCCAGUCACCUACGCAAUUUCUAUCAAAUUCACCUGAUCGGCUGUAAAUUAAUUUCAAACACGACUCGCAUAGCAUAGCACCGAUAUUUCCUAUCUCCUCGAAAUUUCAUAUCAGCAUUAUCAAACUCCGGUCGGUGUUGGCAAGUAGAAGAACAGCUUGCGCUGCUCUCUCGAGUUGGCGAAAUCCUCGAAAGGGUUCGCCGGGCACAUGACACGUGAGGUUGGAACCGUGUCCGCUUGCGUGGACGCCGGGCGUCGCGUCGGACGCUCACGUGGCACCCCUCUCCACCUCUCUUUCAUUCUCGGGAGCGUCGUGCAUGAGGUUUCCUCGCCGCCCGGCGUCCUCUCCUCUCCUCUCCUUCGUACGGAACAGUGCGGUGCGGUGCGGUGCGGUGCGGCGGUCCCACGAUCUUCCAUCCCCUCUCUCCUCACUCUCUCGCGCGUCGCUCCCCCUUCCCUCACUUCCUUGCCUCACCCCGCUACUCGCUACUCGCUACUCGCAGCGUCCUCGGCAGCAGCCGAAGAGAGCCGAGAGCUGCGCCGUCGCACUCGUCGCCGCCGCCACCGCGCCACGCCGCGCCGCUCCUCAGUAACGCGAGCGCCUUCGUGGAGUUUGGUAUUUCGUUUCUCUAUCGCUCGUGCCGCGCGUCAUCGUCGUCGUCGUCGUCGUCGUCGUGGUAACGCGUAACGCGGCGGCAACGCGCGUUUCUCGUUUCGUCUUUCUUUGUCCGUAACAAUCGCGUGUUCCAUACGUUUACAGUGUACUACAGCUUUACUCAUCGUCGGGAGUACAGUGUUUCUCGAGCACAUUCUUCGUUAAUAAUUGUAGCGUCGAGACGAGUGGUUUGAUAAUUGAGAAAGAGAGGUAGAGAGCCUUGCUGCUUGCGCGCGCACGCGCGCGCGCGGGUGCGACGUCUUUUGCUCGGUUGAGAAUUCGGAGCCUGUCGCGCGAGGUAAACAAAGCGCCACGCCGGGGCGGAAUCGAACGAGUCAACAUUUGGAAACGGCGCGUCUAACUCAAAGUCUCUAAUCUCGCAGUGUGUGCGGUGUGUGUGUGUGUGUGUAUGUGUAUGUGUGCGUGUGUAUGUGUGUCUCGCGGGUGACGACGAGUAGUAGUGUGACACCGGUGGUGUAAGUCGGUGUCGUAGCCGCGCGCGGCAAACGAGAAUGCCGGGACGGCGCGUGACGCGGUCAGUCGGGGAGCAGCGGCGUGCUCGCGCCGGUUUGAUUUUCGGGUCGCCGAGCGGCGACUGAGAGGAGGGGGAGUGAGGGGAGAAGGGAUGCGAGAAGGAUCAUCCCGCGGGAGCAGCAGCCGGCGCGGUGUGUUGAGUAGCAGCGGCGUGCCGCGCGCGUGUAGGUGCCGGGCGAGUUGUAAGAGUGCUUGGUAGAGGUGGAGGUGGUGGAGGAGGAGGAGGAGGAGGCGGAGGAGGAGGAGAAGAAAAAGAAGAGGGUGAUCUCUCUCGGAUGGCCGGCGAGGAUGGCCGGCCGGCUGGCGGCGAGUGGCGCUGAUCCGCAACGACGUAGGUGCUGCUGUUGCUGCUGCUGCUGCUGCGCGCCUCCGCGACUCCGACGACACGACGACGUGACGGCCACGUGCCGUAGCGGACGCGUCGUCGUUGCUCAGUGGCGUUAACUCUCCCCCUCUUGUCCUAACCGCCGUGGAGAUUGCGUGCCGAGCGUGUCGUAACCAAGCGCGUUUCAGAACACGCGAUCGGAGUGUAUUCGCCCGUUUCAUCCAUCUAUUUAUUAAGUAAAACCGGCAUCCCCCGAAUCUACGAGAAGGCGAAGGAGGAGAAAGAGUUGGAGUAGGAACACCGAGUGGCCGGCGAAUCGAGUGCAAUCGCAGGAAACGCAACGAGAAAAGAGGGAGAUUCGUCGCUGUGCUCUUUUGGAAGGAUUUUCGCAGUUUCUCAAAGGACGAGAACAGAAAAAAGUGUGUCUCUCUCUCUCUCUCUCUCUCUCUCUUUUAGAAGUUAGGAUAGUACAUGAAGGAUUCUUGUUUGCGUGACUGUGUAUACGUGUGUGUAUUUGUGUGCGGAAAAAGUUGAUCCAACGCUUCGAUAUGAAAAUAGUGAACCGCGCGACGCGAUACCUUCCGUCCGAAGUGCAGCCUGGGGUAAGCGCGCGCCAAAUCCAAGUGCAGUGAUACGUAACGUCGACGUCCCUUCGCAGUGAUCGUUCAAUGACAGAGAGAAGUUUUAGCGACGUCGCGUCGCUAUUUCGAGUUUGAGAAAUGUAAUCAAUUUUAAAACCGUGAAAGUUUCAAUUGUCAAGGAAGGUGGAAAAGGCCUGGGGUGAUUCGCGCGUGUUGUUGACGCGUCGCCGCACGUGUGUCUCUGAGGAAAAUUGCUGUUUGAACUUGACGUCGUCGAGGGUUAGCUAAACUAAGAUUCGAAAGAUAGGACAGUGGAGAAAGUGAAGAAGGCAGGGAAGGCGUUUGAUCCUCUCUAGUCCAAAGCCCAGCGGGAGUUCUCGGGCGAGAGAAAGAGAGAGAGAGUGUGUGCGUGCGUGUGUGUGUGUCUGCGCGCGAAAGAGAGAGAGAGAGAGAGGAGGGUGAAGAGCGACGUGGAGGGGAGGAAGUGAUGCCGGCGGUGAGCGUGGCACAGCGCCCUCCAGGUGGAAUCCCACUCCACGCCGGCGUGCCGGUAGCGCCCAGCAGCGUAACCGCCCCCGGUCCGUCGGGCCGGUGCCUCGGGGGCCCGGCAGCACCCCCCGCCGGCUCGCCACCGCUGCCGCCGUCCUUGCAAUCCCUUGGCGGCGCGGGCCAACUCGCCACUAACAGCAACAACAGCACAAAUCCCAAUCCCAACGGCAACAGCAACAACAACAGCGCGUUCGGUGGCGGCAACCCCAACGGUCACCAUCUCGGCAACAACUCGGCCCUAGGUAUCAACACGGCGAGCGGCGCCACGAAUCCCUUGCAGGCGAUGGCGUCGGCGGCGGCGUCGCUCACGCAACUCAACAACAUGGCGAACGGGCCGCUGCCGCCACUCGCGGGCACCGGCCCGGGCGGACCGCCGAGUCUGCCGCCGCCGCAGCCAGCGACGACGCCGACGCACGGCGGCCCACCGACCCCGCACGGCGGGGUUAGCGCGGCGCCUCAUCUUAACGGCGCCUCUCCGAGUCCCCAUCCAAUGCCGCCUCAUGGCAUGAUGAGCGGCUCCCCGCAUACGCCUCACCCUCACAUGGGAGGCGGCGGACCCUCGCCUCAUCCCCAUCACCCGGGGCCUCACAUGGUCGGCUCGCCGCAUCAUCCAGCGGCGCCGCCCGGCCAUCCGGCGACGAUGGGCCCGGCCGGCAUGAUGGGCCCGGCCGGGAUGCAGCCCCAAGCCGCGCCCGGAAUGUGCGGACCCGGACCUACCGGGCCCAUGGGUCCGCACGCGCAUCCCCAGGGACCGGGAGUACCUGGACAGCCGCAUUUGCACAAUGACCCCUUCUUCAACUGCCAGCCUUUCCCCUCGCACUACUAUAACAGAUCGUUGCCUGUCCCCAGGAGGCAUACUCCAGCCUUUGGCUUCAGCCAACCGGACUACAGGCUCCACGAGUUGAACAAGAGGUUAUCGCAGCGUACGGAGGAAAGCGACAACGUCUGGUGGGACUCCUUCGCGAGCGAAUUCUUCGAAGAAGACGCUACUCUCACCCUUCAUGUCUGCUUGGAGGAUGGACCGAAAAGAUAUUCGAUAGGAAGGACGUUAAUACCCAGGUACUUCCGUUCGAUAUUCGAUGGUGGUGUGACGGAAUUGUACUACACUCUAAAGAACCAGAAAGAGUCGUUCCACAACACCACCAUCACGCUUGACUGCGAUCAGUGCACUAUGGUCACGCAAUACGGAAAGCCAAUGUACACCAAGGUGUUAACGGAGGGUAGGUUAAUAUUGGAGUUCACCUUUGACGACCUCAUGAGGAUAAAGUCGUGGCAUAUGUCGGUAAGGACGCAUCGGGAGCUCGUACCGAGGAGUGUUGUCAGUAUGCAGCAGGACCCAACGAUGCUUGAGCAGAUUAGCAAAAACAUCACCAGGCAGGGCAUGUCCAACUUUACUCUCAACUACCUUAGAUUAUGCGUGAUUCUGGAGCCAAUGCAGGAACUGAUGUCGAGGCAUAAAGCGUAUGCUUUAUCACCCCGCGAUUGUCUGAAGACGACCUUGUUCCAGAAAUGGCAGAGGAUAGUUGCCCCGCCGGGUAAGAGAGGUAGACGAACAGUUGCUUUACAUGAGAAGCACCAGCCAGUGGACGAAUGAUCGUCGAUCUUAAUAAACAAUGUGAAAUCGAUUCUUGCUAUCCGCGAAAUGGCGCAUGACAAUUUAUUGUCGCCAUCUUUUUUAUCACUUUAUGUCGUGAUUCUUGGUUCCGCCGGUUUUUCUCUUGUUGAGCAUGAGACUUGGCAAUUUUCUAUUUGAAAUCUUCUAGUAGUUAGACUUUCCUAUGAACAAUUUUGCUUGCUUGAUCGAAUUCAAGCCAAAUGUUCGAGUUAUUCUGCGAUCAAAUUACUUGAGUCAUGAUUAAAAUUUCCAUUUUCUCUUAAUUUUGCAAAUUACAUUAAUUGAUAUUAAUAACUCGGUUAUUUUUCGUUUAAAAUUGUGUGAUACUUCUAGCGUCCGCUUAUUGUACCUGUACUUGUGCGUUGAUACCACUGCU